Molecule: long non-coding RNA, 390 nt
Filed under: Homo sapiens (human)
Lineage: Eukaryota; Metazoa; Chordata; Mammalia; Primates; Hominidae
Description: HSALNT0017232
Source: RNAcentral
CUGGAAAGCAAGGGGAAAGGUGGCAGAGAGGGGCUGAGAUCAUGUUUUCCAGCAGCAAUCCCAGGACUGGGUGGAAACCUGGAGGUUUUCAGGAAGGCUGGAGGAGGCUGGCUUAGGAUGAGCUGCUGCAUUGGCUGUGCAGACGUGACCCUCAGGACUUCAUCUGAACCUGUGAAGAGUUUCCAUGCAGGGAAGGGGGGAUGAGUAGAGCUAGGGACCUAAAAUUUGAGAGGGGAAGAUAUUCCCCAGUGGAAGACAGUAAAUCAAAGACUAGAGACCAAGCAUCAGUCUACUGGGUGUUUGCUACACCUCUGAAGAGCUAAGGUUUUCCCUCCUGUUACAGUAAUGGACACUCAACAACACAUACCCUUCCCAGCAACCUGUCCUGCU